GUAAGUAUAGUUUAAGCACAAAAUAUUAGAUUGUGAUUCUAAUGAUAGGGGUUAAAAUCCCCUUACUCACC
This 71-nucleotide transfer RNA is filed under the name Aperioptus gracilentus. RNAcentral describes it as "tRNA-His". It matches the Rfam family "tRNA". From Rfam's summary of the family: Transfer RNA (tRNA) molecules are approximately 80 nucleotides in length. Their secondary structure includes four short double-helical elements and three loops (D, anti-codon, and T loops). The record is from RNAcentral. Lineage: Eukaryota; Metazoa; Chordata; Actinopteri; Cypriniformes; Cobitidae.